AUGCACCUGUUUAGCCCGUGGCUUCCGUCUUUAUGCGUGCGUGUCGCCCCGCGAAACUGCACAACCCUGCAGAGGAACACACCGACACACACACACACAACGCACCCGGGGAGGAAACGGGUGCCUGUUUCACUGUUAUUAUUUGCUACAAAGCAAAACUGCAGCUGCGACCUUCUACUUUCUUUUUUAAGCCCUGCGAGGGGGUGUAAUAUGAAAUCCUCAACUGCGGUGGCACUUCUGGCCACCGAAAGCAACGUUUUAAACGCUCACUUCCUCCCUGUUCCCCCCAUCCUCCCUCUCUCUCUCUCUCUCUCUCUCUCUCUCUCUCUCUCUGUGUGUGUGUGUGUGUUUCCAACGCAAAGCUUCAUGCGCGUGUAUAUAUCUAUACAUAUAUAUGUACAGUAUAGAAAUAUACAUACUGUAUAUUUGGAACUAACCAAAAAAUCAUCAUCAUCAUCGAAAGCACCGUCAAGAGCUGGGAUCCCUCGCUUUUUAAAAAAAAAGCCCCCUCAUCGUCAUCGCCGCCAUCAUCAUUCAUCAUCAUCCACCAAACCCAAAAAAAAGAGGACCUCUUACCUCUCACAUUUCUUUUUUCAAAGGCAAAAUAAAAAGCAUUUUGUCUCCCCAGAUUUAAAUCCCUAGAUUCAUUGAGUCCAUAGCUGCCUUGAGAAAAAAAAAGUGGAGGUCAAAUUUGAGGUGGAGGGGAGUUCUUCAGAGAACAUACUUAGAUAAACCAGCAAAAACAAACCAAAAUCUUCUGAAGGUGACCUUGGACUUAACUGUAGAAAGACCAUCCCACCAGCUUCGAGACAUAAUACAAAAGACUGGAAAAGUAAUGCUGCCAUGCCAGUGAUCCAUGAAUGAGUCAUGAGUAGUAAAGCCACAGGGAAAAUAACUAUUUUGGCAUUCAAAUGUAAUAUUUCAUGAGCUUCUGCCGCCUUCAGAAGCCUGCCACUCUAAACCACAAAAGUUGGUUUCCUGACAACCUCCCCCACUGUCAUAGUUUCACUAAGUUCUGUCUUGCUUUCAGUCAACAUGGCAACACCAGGAUCAACUAAGC
This 1060-nucleotide long non-coding RNA is filed under the name Pogona vitticeps (central bearded dragon). RNAcentral's name for it is "lncRNA (ENSPVIG00000015006.1)". Lineage: Eukaryota; Metazoa; Chordata; Lepidosauria; Squamata; Agamidae. The record is from RNAcentral.